Non-coding RNA from Stomoxys calcitrans (stable fly), 46 nucleotides. The record is from Rfam. NCBI's taxonomy places the organism in Eukaryota, Metazoa, Arthropoda, Insecta, Diptera, Muscidae.
ACCAUGGCGUUUUUUAACGCCACCAGAAUCAUUAUAACGAUUAAUG